ACGUCAAAUCAUCAUGCCCCUUAUGUUCUGGGCUACACACGUGCUACAAUGGCCGGUACAGCGAGACGCAAGGCCGCGAGGCGGAGCAAAUCUCAAAAACCGGUCCCGGUUCGGAUUGCAGGCUGAAACCCGCCUGCAUGAAGUCGGAGUUGCUAGUAAUCGUGAAUCAGCAUGUCACGGUGAAUACGUUCCCGGGCCUU
This 200-nucleotide ribosomal RNA is filed under the name uncultured prokaryote. RNAcentral describes it as "partial 16S ribosomal RNA". It matches the Rfam family "Bacterial small subunit ribosomal RNA", at positions 1182 to 1382 of the family's 1533-position model. The record is from RNAcentral.